This 1357-nucleotide long non-coding RNA is filed under the name Nasonia vitripennis (jewel wasp). RNAcentral's name for it is "uncharacterized LOC116418047, transcript variant X3". The record is from RNAcentral. Lineage: Eukaryota; Metazoa; Arthropoda; Insecta; Hymenoptera; Pteromalidae.
UGUCAGUAAUAUAUAUAUAUAAGCAGAAAAGAUAUUGUGAAAGUUUAUAUUACUUAAUUGAUUAUGGUGGUAUAAAAAGAAACUGUUCCAUCUUAAAUCCAACAAUAACAGUAAUAGACUGCUUGGCCUCAAGUUUCAGUGCGACAAACUCCAUCAUUUUCAGCAGUCAAUCAAAUUAACGGGUUAAAUGAGAAUGGUGACUGGUUAAGAGGCAUCAUCGUAAGAACAAUAACUGGCUGUUUUACUAUGCUCUCAACUAUGCUGCUGUUGCUACUGGCUUUACUUUUCCACACAUUUGGUUUAAUCAAAUAGGGCAAGGACAAGGUUCAUAGACGAGACAGCAUCCAUAAAGUAGAUACGGAGGAUAAUGAUAACCAGUCAAUAAGAGUCACAAGAGGUCUACAAGAGGACAUUUGUAAACAUUGGUAAACCAUAUAACAGUUGUGCACUUGCAGCAGCAGGAUCAUAUUUUUCUCAGUUUAAUCACUUCAUCUUACAUACUAUGUAUCUUAAUUCUUACGGUUAAUUUAUCAACAGCAUACAUUGUCAAAAUCCAAGAGAGUUCGUUCUCCAGUGCUUAGUUCUUCAUUUCAAACUUUUAAUUUCAAAAAGGUUGCUGCUUAACGUGCUACUACAUAAGCCUGAUAAAUUCAUGCUGGUAGCAAUUUUUCCUAUAGAAAAUUUAGUACUGGGAACAAAUUGAAAGUUUUAAUUCAAAGUGCUAAAACUUUUGGAAUCAGCUGGACUGCAAAAAAUUCUACAGAAUAAGAUCAAUUUGAGGAUAAGAAGGAGCCAAAUAUUCCAUUACAAGGACUUCAAUAUUUUUUACCAGCAAAAGGAAGUCUUUAGCAAGGAGUUAUCAUUGUAAACUUAUCCAGACAAAAAAAAUUGACAAUUAUGUACAACUAUUAUUACUUGAAUUUGAAACUCUCUACCCUUCUGAUGCUGUACCUUCCAGGCGCCUUAAAACUAGUAAAGCUACUGAUAUCAUUGUGUGUGCAUUCUCAAAUAUCUUGAGAAACUUGGAUCAAGCUAACCAGUGUUUUUGAGUAAGCUCGAGAUCCUUACAAAAUUAAGUCAAUGCCAAAAUAUUACAAACUAUCAGGAAUGAAAAUAAAAACUCAAUUCAAGAAUGAACAUAUGGAUUUAUUCAAAGUAUGAGGAUGCUAUACAUAAAAUAUAAGAAUAAUAUAAAAUAAUUCAAGAAGUCAGCGAGAGCUGUUAUAAACUAUCAGCAUUUAAUAAAAUUAAAAGUUGAAUCUGUUAAUGAAUUAUAUUCCGUACAAAUAGCAAAAUUAUCAAUUAAUUUAUAUGAAAAAUUUCUUUGUAAAUAAAAUAAAAAUUUGAAAUGAUAUAA